ACGGGCUGCAGAGGCGCGAAAACUUUACAAUGCGGGAAACCGUGAUAAGGGAACUCCGAGUGCCCGUAAAAUCGGGCUGUCCAUCGGUUUAAAUAACCGGUGAAGAAAGGGCCAGGCAGGACCGGUGCCAGCCGCCGCGGUAAUACCGGCGGCUCGAGUGGUGGCCACUAUUACUGGGCUUAAAGCGUUCGUAGCUGGUCUGUUAAGUCUCUGGGGAAAUCUGCCGGCUUAACCGGCAGGCGUCUCAGGGAUACUGGCAGACUAGGGACCGGGAGAGGUGAGGGGUACUCCAGGGGUAGGAGUGAAACCUUGUAAUCCUUGGGGGACCACCUGUGGCGAAGGCGCCUCACCAGAACGGCUCCGACAGUGAGGGACGAAAGCUGGGGGAGCAAACCGGAUUAGAUACCCGGGUAGUCCCAGCUGUAAACGAUGCGCGUUAGGUGUAUCGGUGACCACGAGUCACCGAGGUGCCGAAGAGAAAUCGUGAAACGUGCCGCCUGGGAAGUACGGCCGCAAGGCUGAAACUUAAAAGGAAUUGGCGGGGGAGCC
This 549-nucleotide ribosomal RNA is filed under the name uncultured archaeon. RNAcentral describes it as "bacterial SSU rRNA". It matches the Rfam family "Archaeal small subunit ribosomal RNA", at positions 325 to 878 of the family's 1478-position model. The record is from RNAcentral.